AGGGCGAGCGGAGAUCCUGAGUACGGCGGGACACGAGAAAUCCUGUCGGAAGCAUCGGGGACCAUCCCGAAAGGCUAAAGACUACUGCGUGACCGAUAGCGAACCAGUACCGUGAGGGAAAGGUGAAAAGAACCCCGGGAGGGGAGUGAAAGAGAACCUGAAACCAUAUGCCUACAAGAAGUCAGAGCCCGUCAAAGGGUGAUGGCGUGCCUUUUGUAGAAUGAGCCGGCGAGUUGCUUUUUCAGGCGAGGCUAAGCAGGAUAUGCGGAGCCGAAGCGAAAGCGAGUCUUAAGAGGGCGAGCAGUCUGAAGGAGCAGACCCGAAACCGGGUGAUCUAGCCAUGGACAGGUUGAAGUCGGGGUAAGACCCGAUGGAGGACCGAACCGACCCCCGUUGAAACGUUGGCGGAUGAUCCGUGGCUAGAGGUGAAAUUCCAAACGAACCCGGAGAUAGCUGGUUCUCCCCGAAAUAGCUUUAGGGCUAGCGUCGCGAGACGGCAUGCGAAGGUAGAGCACUGAAUAUGCGAUGGCCUCAUCCCGAGGUACUGAGCAUAAUCAAACUCCGAAUGUCGCACGUCCAGUCGCGGCAGUCAGUCCGCGGGUGAUAAGGUCCGCGGACAAGAGGGAAACAGCCCAGACCAUCAGCUAAGGUCCCAAAGUGCAUGCUAAGUGGAAAAGGAAGUGGAGACGUGCAGACAACUAGGAGGUUGGCUCAGAAGCAGCCAUCCUUCAAAGAGUGCGUAACAGCUCACUAGUCGAAUGACUCUGCGCCGAUAAUUUACCGGGGCUAAGCAUGACACCGAAGCUAUGGAUUCGAAUGAAUGGUAGGGGAGCGUUCCAUGCGGCGAAGAAGCGCGACCGAGAGGGCGCGAGGAGCGCAUGGAAGAGAGAAUGCCGGCGUGAGUAGCGAGACGUGGGUGAGAAUCCCACGCACCGAUGGCCCAAGGUUUCCAGAGGAAGGUUCGUCCGCUCUGGGAGAGUCGGGACCUAAGGAGAGGCCGAAAGGCGUAUCCGAUGGACGACGGGUGGAGAUUCCCGUACCCCAUCGAGAGCGAGGGAGUGACGGAGACGGCAGGAGCGACCGGCUGACGGAAUAGCCGGGGCAAGCGAAGCAGCCGCGCAGCAGGCAAAUCCGCUGCGCA
This 1141-nucleotide ribosomal RNA is filed under the name Kandleria vitulina. Its description in RNAcentral is "bacterial LSU rRNA". It matches the Rfam family "Bacterial large subunit ribosomal RNA", at positions 392 to 1551 of the family's 2925-position model. Lineage: Bacteria; Bacillati; Bacillota; Erysipelotrichia; Erysipelotrichales; Coprobacillaceae. The record is from RNAcentral.